Molecule: ribosomal RNA, 253 nt
Filed under: uncultured bacterium
Lineage: Bacteria
Description: partial 16S ribosomal RNA
Rfam family: Bacterial small subunit ribosomal RNA
Source: RNAcentral
UACAGAGGGGGCAAGCGUUGUUCGGAAUUACUGGGCGUAAAGGGCGCGUAGGCGGCCUUCUAAGUCGAACGUGAAAUCCCCGGGCUCAACCCGGGAACUGCGUCCGAUACUGGAAGGCUUGAAUCCGGGAGAGGGAUGCGGAAUUCCUGGUGUAGCGGUGAAAUGCGCAGAUAUCAGGAGGAACACCGGUGGCGAAGGCGGAUCUCUGGGCCAUUACUGACGCUGAGGAGCGAAAGCGUGGGGAGCGAACAGG